CAUACUUGUGUAUGAGGGAGGAUAGGUAUGUUGGAGCAGCAUUAUGUAGGGAUUUGUAAGCAAGCGCCAGAAUUUUGAAUUGGGCCCUAUAUCUAACUGGAAGCCAAUGCAGGGACUGACAGAGCGUGGAGGCGUGGGAGGUGCGACCGGACAGGAAAAUAAGCCUUGCAGCCGUAUUCAUUAUAGAUUGCAGCGGUGCAAGCUGGGAACAUGUAAGACCGGUGAGAAGGGGAUUGCAAUAGUCAAGGCGAGAGAGAACAACAGCAUGAACCAGUACCUUAGCCGCGUCCGGCGUUAGAUAUGGGCGGAUGCGCGCUAUGUUCUUGAGUUGGAAGCGACAGGAUUUGGCUAUCGAUUGAACAUGGGGAGUAAAAGAGAG
Pelobates cultripes (western spadefoot toad) is the source of this 379-nucleotide non-coding RNA. NCBI's taxonomy places the organism in Eukaryota, Metazoa, Chordata, Amphibia, Anura, Pelobatidae. The record is from the annotation of a GenBank genome assembly.